This 404-nucleotide long non-coding RNA is filed under the name Olea europaea (common olive). RNAcentral describes it as "long non-coding RNA (OEUR_LNC000011)". Lineage: Eukaryota; Viridiplantae; Streptophyta; Magnoliopsida; Lamiales; Oleaceae. The record is from RNAcentral.
AGAGAGAGAGAGAGAGAGAGAGGAGGAGAGAACUCAAAUCCAUACACAGCCAGAGCAGUAAAUGGGAGUGAUUUUUGUUACUUAUUCAGUGCAUUCUUAUCCGGACUUGGGCUGGAAUUGCUCUCAGAUCUGAAGAAUAAAAGUUUGUUCUGAAUUCUCUUUCUCCUCUUCACUUCAGAUACAGCCCAGCAUUCCAGCUUGUUGAUUCCAGAACUGGUAUGGCUCAAUCUUCUUUUAUUACCCUUCUCAAGCCAGUUCACCUAAGCACAAGCACACAUCAUCAGCAAUAUGCAAAAAGAAAAUGUUAGACUAAUUGGUCAACUUAAGAAUUUAUUUAUUUAUUAUUAUUAUUAUUUUUUUAUUUUUUUUGAAAGGUAAUUGCUCAACUUAAGAAUUCAUCCACG